GACAGAGGGUGCAAACGUUGUUCGGAAUUACUGGGCGUAAAGCGCGCGUAGGUGGCUUCGUAAGUCCGUUGUGAAAGUCAAAGGCUCAACCUUUGAAAGCCGAUGGAUACUGUGAAGCUAGAGUACGGAAGAGGCGAGUGGAAUUCCUGGUGUAGCGGUGGAAUGCGCAGAUAUCAGGAGGAACACCAAUAGCGAAGGCAGCUCGCUGGGACGUUACUGACACUGAGGCGCGAAAGCGUGGGGAGCGAACAGG
Molecule: ribosomal RNA, 253 nt
Filed under: uncultured bacterium
Lineage: Bacteria
Description: partial 16S ribosomal RNA
Rfam family: Bacterial small subunit ribosomal RNA
Source: RNAcentral